This 253-nucleotide ribosomal RNA is filed under the name uncultured bacterium. RNAcentral describes it as "partial 16S ribosomal RNA". It matches the Rfam family "Bacterial small subunit ribosomal RNA", at positions 524 to 776 of the family's 1533-position model. The record is from RNAcentral.
UACAGAGGUCCCAAGCGUUGUUCGGAUUCAUUGGGCGUAAAGGGUGCGUAGGUGGCGCCGUAAGUCGGGUGUGAAAUUUCGGAGCUUAACUCCGAAACUGCAUUCGAUACUGCGGUGCUUGAGGACUGGAGAGGAGACUGGAAUUCCUGGUGUAGCAGUGAAAUGCGUAGAUAUCAGGAGGAACACCGAUGGCGAAGGCAGGUCUCUGGGCUGACACUGACGCUCAUGCACGAAAGCGUGGGGAGCAAACAGG